GGACAGAUGGCCGAGAUGGUUAUGGCGCCAGGUUAAGGUUAUACCUUAAUGCAUGUGAUUCAUUCAUAUAGUUUCCUGGUCACGAAAGUGGCGUGGGUUCGAGUCCCACUCUGUUCA
Molecule: transfer RNA, 117 nt
Organism: Pseudogymnoascus pannorum
Lineage: Eukaryota; Fungi; Ascomycota; Leotiomycetes; Thelebolales; Thelebolaceae
Rfam family: tRNA
About the family: Transfer RNA (tRNA) molecules are approximately 80 nucleotides in length. Their secondary structure includes four short double-helical elements and three loops (D, anti-codon, and T loops).
Source: Rfam